Molecule: ribosomal RNA, 358 nt
Filed under: uncultured Alphaproteobacteria bacterium
Lineage: Bacteria; Pseudomonadati; Pseudomonadota; Alphaproteobacteria
Description: bacterial SSU rRNA
Rfam family: Bacterial small subunit ribosomal RNA
Source: RNAcentral
GACGAACGCUGGCGGCAGGCUUAACACAUGCAAGUCGAACGCCCUCUUCGGAGGGAGUGGCAGACGGGUGAGUAACGCGUGGGAACGUGCCCUUCGGUACGGAACAACAGUUAGAAAUGACUGCUAAUACCGUAUACGACCUCCGGGUGAAAGAUUUAUCGCCGAAGGAUCGGCCCGCGUUAGAUUAGCUUGAUGGUGGGGUAAAGGCCUACCAUGGCGACGAUCUAUAGCUGUUCUGAGAGGAAGAUCAGCCACACUGGGACUGAGACACGGCCCAGACUCCUACGGGAGGCAGCAGUGGGGAAUAUUGGACAAUGGGCGCAAGCCUGAUCCAGCCAUGCCGCGUGGAUGAAGAAGG